GUGCUCACUUGGCAGCACAUAUUCUAAAAUGGAAACCACACAAAGAAGAUUGGCAUGGCCCCAAUGAAAGGGUGACACACAAUUCUGCGUAACAUUCAUAUUUUUG
This is a small nuclear RNA of Nomascus leucogenys (northern white-cheeked gibbon), 106 nucleotides long. The record is from Ensembl. Lineage: Eukaryota; Metazoa; Chordata; Mammalia; Primates; Hylobatidae.